RNAcentral lists this transfer RNA (91 nucleotides) under Chloroflexota bacterium. Its description in RNAcentral is "Chloroflexi bacterium tRNA-Ser". It matches the Rfam family "tRNA". From Rfam's summary of the family: Transfer RNA (tRNA) molecules are approximately 80 nucleotides in length. Their secondary structure includes four short double-helical elements and three loops (D, anti-codon, and T loops). The record is from RNAcentral. RNAcentral also lists the same sequence under 1 other name. Lineage: Bacteria; Bacillati; Chloroflexota.
GGGGAGGUGCCAGAGUGGUCGAUCGGAGCCGCCUGCUAAGCGGUUAACGGCUAAACCCCGUUCAUGGGUUCGAAUCCCAUCCUCCCCGCCA